GGUGUUACUUGUUGUCUCCUUUCCAAGAUUGGGGUAUGGGGAUUUUUGUCAUAGGCCCUUGGGCCUCCACACUUACCCACUCUCUCACUCCUCUCCUUUUCCUGUGCCCUGGAUUAGGAAAGCUCUUGUCUUGACUUCAUCUGGGCCAUGAUGAGGAAAGCCACCUUUCUGUUUUGAAUAAUUAUAUUCUGAGAACUUCAUCAGAGGCAGCAAAAUAAUUUGCAAAUCUGAGGAGCCUUGUGUACUCUCUGUUACCUUGAGGCCAUAGUACUUCAGCUCAUAUUUUCUGAAGCUUUGCUGCUGGCAGAAGGAACUGUGUGAGGAAGACAGAACAACCAGAAAAUUACAACUUCCAAGAGACACUGUACAAAGACACUGUUUUCUCCUUUUCACUGUGGUGGAGCAAAACAUCGUGUGUUGCACAGUGACAUCUCCUGCUCUGCCCUGCUCUGCAAAACUCUCUACUCUGUCCAGCUGGGGCCCAAAGAAA
Molecule: long non-coding RNA, 490 nt
Filed under: Parus major (Great Tit)
Lineage: Eukaryota; Metazoa; Chordata; Aves; Passeriformes; Paridae
Description: lncRNA (ENSPMJG00000005595.1)
Source: RNAcentral